RNAcentral lists this long non-coding RNA (876 nucleotides) under Salvia miltiorrhiza (redroot sage). Its description in RNAcentral is "long non-coding RNA (SMIL_LNC007917)". The record is from RNAcentral. Lineage: Eukaryota; Viridiplantae; Streptophyta; Magnoliopsida; Lamiales; Lamiaceae.
GGCUCAGGCCCAAAUAACUCCCCAUAGCCCAUAAAAAUACUACACUUAAGCCCACCCGUUUGACGGCCCAAAGACGUCGUUUCUUAAAUAAUUUUUUUGUAUUUUAUUUUCGCGUAGGGCCCACCUUCCAACGGCUUCCAACGGUUCUUUAAUUAGAAAUUAGGGUUCAAAUAGUAUGAACCCUAACUUGCGAUUACAGGGGCGAUGAAUUGGCAGAAGUAGAAGAAAAUUUGUUAAAUUAGCUUAGGGUUUCUUUUGGAUAUAAGAAAUCAAGGUAAGAACAUGAGUUUGAACUCAGGAUUUGGGUCCUCAUCGUCACGUGGUCGAAGGCAGAUGGAUGCUGAGCAUGGGAGUAAUUACGUGUAUUGUCGUUGCGAGUUUGAAGGCAGGAGGCUUCAAGCUCCGAGAAUUACCUCAUGGACAGACGACAACCCCGGGAGAAGGUUCUACAGAUGUAGAAAUUGGAGAGUAUGUCAUUUCUUGUUUUACUUGGUUGUAGACGAGAAAUCUGUGGUUUUCUUAAAUUUCAUACUUUGUUGUUUUCUUUGUAGACGAAAAACAGUGGUUUUUUCGUCUGGUAUGAAGAGCCCAUGUGUGAGAGAGCUAGAGAAGUGAUAAAUUACUUGAAGAAUGAAAAUAUGAAGCUCUUAAGGAUCCAUCAAAGUUCGGCCUCUCCCCUGGAUGUGGAGUUGACAACCUUUGGAAUGUAAUGGAAGGCUUAAAGGAAGAAUCCAGGAAAGUUAGAAGGAAAAAUACAAUUGUUGUGAUGUUUUGAUUGUAUCUUGGUUGAUGAUAGGCUAUGUUGUUCUAGCAUGAAAUUGGCAAUAUUUGGAAUGUAAUGGAAGGCUUGGUAGGUUUUCAUUGUUUUUGUAUCUA